UAAAAUUUAGGGAAUCGACUAGAAUAUUGUUCGGGUUUAAUCCCCAUAUGAAAACUAAAUUCUCCUUUAAUAAUAUAAUUAUACUUUCUGUUUAUCCCCGUGGACACACUAAAGUAUUCUUAUUGCACAUCUUACACGUUUACACUUGUUUAAUCUUGUCACUUUAAAUUUUCAUUGGAAUUCUCUUACUAUAUUCUUAAAUUCGUUCUUCUUAUUAUAAUUAUAUUCUUCUCCCAGGAUAACUACA
Molecule: long non-coding RNA, 247 nt
Filed under: Lathyrus oleraceus (garden pea)
Lineage: Eukaryota; Viridiplantae; Streptophyta; Magnoliopsida; Fabales; Fabaceae
Description: Pisum sativum (pea) long non-coding RNA (PSAT_LNC036951)
Source: RNAcentral